GACGAACGCUGGCGGCGUGCUUAACACAUGCAAGUCGAACGGAAAGGCCCUGCUUUUGUGGGGUGCUCGAGUGGCGAACGGGUGAGUAACACGUGAGUAACCUGCCCUUGACUUUGGGAUAACUUCAGGAAACUGGGGCUAAUACCGGAUAGGAGCUCCUGCUGCAUGGUGGGGGUUGGAAAGUUUCGGCGGUUGGGGAUGGACUCGCGGCUUAUCAGCUUGUUGGUGGGGUAGUGGCUUACCAAGGCUUUGACGGGUAGCCGGCCUGAGAGGGUGACCGGCGAAAGUGGGACUGAGAUAGGGCCCAGGGGCGUACGGGAGGCAGCAGGGGGGAGUAUGGCACAGUGGGCGGAAGCCGGUUGAAGCAGCGCCGGGGGGGGGAUGACGGCCUGCGGGGUGUAAACCGAUUUCGCCUGUGAAGAAGCGGGAGUGACGGUAAUGGGUAAAGAAGCACAGGCUAACUACGUG
RNAcentral lists this ribosomal RNA (468 nucleotides) under uncultured bacterium. RNAcentral's name for it is "partial 16S ribosomal RNA". It matches the Rfam family "Bacterial small subunit ribosomal RNA", at positions 28 to 507 of the family's 1533-position model. The record is from RNAcentral.